CAGCAGAAGUUGGACCCGAAUCGCUGAGCAACAUGAGGACCAGAACCACGGAGCUGAAGAUGACAGGCCUGGUGUUUACAGAUGAAAUAGAAGAACAGGAAGAUGAAAAGGCGAAUGCAGAAAUGGUGUUUGGGAGAAAACUGGCCAUCAUCUCCGCCUGAAGAAAAGAAAACGGAGAUGAAGAUUCCAGCCGUGGUUUGGUCUGCGCCACCAGUCGCUGCCUGUUGGGUGAUCCUGAUGAUAAUCGUGGCUCUGCACAUCCACUGAGUAACAACACAGAUCACCUCCAUCCUAUUUAUUCACAUUAAAAGAAAGUUAUUAUUUAUUGCUUCUCACUGAGAACUUCUAGAGUUUCUG
Long non-coding RNA from Poecilia latipinna (sailfin molly), 357 nucleotides. RefSeq lists it as uncharacterized. The record is from RefSeq and is a predicted model, not a curated record. The transcript has 3 exons. NCBI's taxonomy places the organism in Eukaryota, Metazoa, Chordata, Actinopteri, Cyprinodontiformes, Poeciliidae.